RNAcentral lists this ribosomal RNA (510 nucleotides) under uncultured bacterium. RNAcentral describes it as "partial 16S ribosomal RNA". It matches the Rfam family "Bacterial small subunit ribosomal RNA", at positions 28 to 507 of the family's 1533-position model. The record is from RNAcentral.
GACGAACGCUGGCGGCGUGCUUAACACAUGCAAGUCGAACGAAGAGCGACGGAAGCUUGCUUCUAUCAAUCUUAGUGGCGAACGGGUGAGUAACGCGUAAUCAACCUGCCCUUCAGAGGGGGACAACAGUUGGAAACGACUGCUAAUACCGCAUACGAUCUAACCUCGGCAUCGAGGAUAGAUGAAAGGUGGCCUCUACAUGUAAGCUAUCACUGAAGGUGGGGAUUGCGUCUGAUUAGCUAGUUGGAGGGGUAACGGCCCACCAAGGCGAUGAUCAGUAGCCGGUCUGAGAGGAUGAGCGGCCACAUUGGGACUGAGACACGGCCCAGACUCCUACGGGAGGCAGCAGUGGGGAAUCUUCCGCAAUGGACGAAAGUCUGACGGAGCAACGCCGCGUGAGUGAUGACGGCCUUCGGGUUGUAAAGCUCUGUUAAUCGGGACGAAAGGCCUUCUUGCGAAUAGUGAGAAGGAUUGACGGUACCGGAAUAGAAAGCCACGGCUAACUACGUG